Long non-coding RNA from Neltuma alba, 2846 nucleotides. RefSeq lists it as uncharacterized. The record is from RefSeq and is a predicted model, not a curated record. Lineage: Eukaryota; Viridiplantae; Streptophyta; Magnoliopsida; Fabales; Fabaceae. The transcript has 2 exons.
GAUUAUAGAUUUGCAGUUUAUGGGCUAUGAUCGGCGUUUAUAAUCGUUUUGUGACGGAGGACAUUUCCAAAUCCUUUACUUUAUUGGGGGCAAACCAACUGUGUUUGCAUAUUCCCAAGUUAACGUCGCAUACAAAUGUUCGUCGACGUUGACGGAUCUCUCGUUUGGGAGUUUCUCCGUCGAUCUUGUCUCAUAUUCCAUCGCCUUGUGGAGCAGCGUUGCUGCUAUUACUUCUUGGGACUGGCCAUGAGACGUGCUUACGCUGCUACCCUUGGGACCAGAGCUUCUCAAAAAUGUAUUGCUGGAAGCAGUGGAUUUCGUUUUGUUGUGUUUGAACUUUCACAAUAAAAUGCAUUUGUAGUGUUGUUCCGUAAGGACUGUUUUACAGAACACAGAGCAACGCAACAAAUGCAUUCUAAUGUGAGGUUUCUAGAUCCUAUGCUGAGUCGUGUGGAUGAAUUUGUGGCUCCAAAAGUCAUGCUUCAAAAUAGGACCUUGAACAGCACUAUAAAUGUGUUAUGAUAUUAAGGCCUCCAUGACCCUAUGGCGUUGGGCAUGGUUACAAGCUGGUUUUAUUUUGGAGGUAAUAAUGUAACGGAAUCUCAUCCGUACUUGAGUUUUGGUAAGAAACAUUGAAUUGGUUUAUUUAUUUGUUAUGUUCUCAACCCUAAGUGAAAGAUCUAACUUAUACUAACUUAUACUUAAAAGUUUAAAAUUGAUUUUGCUUGCGCCUAACAAGGUGAUCUUUUUUAGAGUGAAGUUAUGAAGUUUCACUGUUAUGCACCUUUUUUAAAAAAAUUUCUCUAAUCAAUUUUGACCACAAAAAACUUUUCAGCGCUUUAUAAAGGCACAAUGAAUCAUCAACUUAUUACUUCAAAUCCUUUAGAACCUGGCUCCUCUUCUAACGCCAAACAGGUCAGCUUAUUUUGGCGUUCUUGCUAAUAUUAAAUACACAGGUUUGAAAUAUGAAUUUCUUAUUUUUCAUUAUGAAGAAUAGUAACCGGUUAAAUGUAAUUUGAUUGAAUGAAAUUGGCCUGAUGUGGCUGCGAGUAAAGCGUUUUCUCCUCUAAUCUCAUCUUGCUUUGAUAUGCUAUGCAAGUCUCCAUGCGCCAUUGCCUCUGUCAACUCUAUUUUUCAGAAGCUGUGUCCAAAUUUCAAUGGCAUGUUCUCUCAUUUCAAUUACUAUAUUCUUCUCAUCUUUCUUUAUCAGUCUUUACUAAAAACGUUUUUUCCAUUAUUCUUUGCUCCUUUCUCUUUUCAAUUAUAGAGGUUUGGAUGUCAUUGUGGCAAACAGUAAGGUAAAUCGUUUGUUUGGUUCCAUUCUUUUUCAAAUGCAUAUCUAAAGUUAAGGGUAAGAACAUGUGAUCGCUCUUUCAUUUCCUUUUGAUUCCUUCUCACUUUUAAAAUGUCAAGUGCUAUUUUGUCUUUAUUAGUCACUCCUCUCCUUGCUACUCUCUCUCAUCAGAUAUUGGAAAAGGAUGCUUAUUGGUGUUCAGCUUGACAAUCUGCUAAAUCCUUUACCAGCUUCAAAGGUGCAGGGACAGAUGUGUUUGAUGAACUUCGUUCUCCAUUCCUCACCCAUUACCUUUGUUGGUGUUUGAUUUUUCUUUUGUUUUAUGAAGUGUGCGGUGAUGAGGCAAUUUAUUGGACUAGAGUUUCUGAUCUGGGUAUUAUGCUCAGAACUUGAUUAACAAACCCUUGGCUGUCUGAGCACACCUUUAAGGAAGUUUUCAAUUCCUUUUCUUGAGUUAGUAUUUUUUCCCUUUUGAGGUGACCGUUUUGAAUGUGUUGUUCAAUUAGUUAAGAAAAUUGGCUCGUGAUGAUACUUUAAUUAUCUUAGCGGAUUUCGGUGAGAUUUCUAUCAAUGAUCUUAUUGUUACACACACUGAAGCCUAUUUUCUUUAUGGAUAUUCUUUAAUUUAACGUAUUACAUUAGAUGUUGCUUUGGUUGCCCCUUUUCUGUAGUCGUGUUUGGUUUCUUAAUCUUUGGGGGCACUGAUAAAAUGAAACACUUGAACAUGUUUUAGGACAGUGGCCGUGACCAUUCAGCUUCGCCCUGAGCCCUUUCCUAAGGACUUAUCCUUGCACUGAGCACUGUGUACUAGUUAAUUUCUUGAUUGUGAUUACUGUUUAAAGAGUUUGCAUCUCUCUGGCUAGUUACUGAAUAAUUUCAGUGGGAAUAAGAUUGGAUAGGAUUUUAUUCUGUUCCCAGUUAGUUUGGAUUAUGUCCUAGCGUGAUCCUCCCUUGUUUUUGUAACAUCUGGCUAUGUGUUGCUGUGUUUGGACGAGUGAUGGGAAAAAAGAUUAUGGGCUUUAUCAGUAAAUUGAAGUUCGUAUGCUUUUCUGCACCUAGUGUCGUUUCGAUCCCAUCUUGAAUUUGCAAUUCUAAUUUCUUAUUUAUUUGUAGAACUGUUAAAAUUCGUUUCUCUUGUAAUUUGUAUUAUUGAGUUUUAUUUUUUUUGCUAUGCAAGUGGAAGGCAGUGAGUAUGGCAGGGCUGACGAAUUUUUGAAGGGUUGCGGGAAGAAAAUAAUAAUAUAUGGGUUCCAUCUCCACAGGGUGCAUGAGGUGUGGCCAUGUAAGUCCUGCUGCAUGAGACUCCUUUGGGCAAACAGGUUGUACCCUUUUAGGAGAAUAUUGAUGGACGAUAAUUUCAUUGGGGUGAUUUUUGUCCUUUCGCUCUCUAUUGCAGGACAUUGUUGGUGAUUAAUGUGGUCUGGUGUAGAUUUGAUAUGUUUUGUUAACCUUGUAAGCUUUAUCACUUGCAUGAUUGUCCACUUCGCUGGUAUUGUAUUUCAAAUUUCUUUAAUGAUAAUUUUUUGUAAUGAUAAAUUCUUUAUUAUUAGAA